RNAcentral lists this transfer RNA (66 nucleotides) under Hygia sp. Its description in RNAcentral is "tRNA-Phe". The record is from RNAcentral. Lineage: Eukaryota; Metazoa; Arthropoda; Insecta; Hemiptera; Coreidae.
AUUUAAGUAGCUUAAGUUUAAAGCGUGAUAUUGAAGAUAUUACAAUAAGAGUAUUCUUCUUAAAUA